RNAcentral lists this long non-coding RNA (394 nucleotides) under Manacus vitellinus (golden-collared manakin). RNAcentral's name for it is "lncRNA (ENSMVIG00005012465.1)". Lineage: Eukaryota; Metazoa; Chordata; Aves; Passeriformes; Pipridae. The record is from RNAcentral.
UCUGUUCAUACCAAAACUGUCUGCCUAGCAUGUAGUGAAAGUAGCCAGGACUGCAUUCAAGGUUUUCACCUUUCAGUUCCCUGUUUGCCUCUGACAAAUACAUGGAAGCUGACUUUUCCUCUACCCCAUUGCAGCCAGCACUGCAGCUUGUGUAUGGAAGAGAGAGAUGCUGUUCCUUUGCAGGAGAUGCUGAGGCUGUGCACAGUUACAGUUUGCCUCUACAUUAUGAAGACUACUGUGAGAAGAGUUUUAGUUUUGCUGUGAGAAUUCAUCUACUUCUGCCCCUCUUUCCUCAUCUGAAGUCAGUGAAGUGACGGUUCAGACUUGUCCGAUUACUUAAUCCAAAACUGCAUCCUACUCUCAGCUAGUGCCGAGGUGAUCCAGCAGGCAAGAG